This is a long non-coding RNA of Cornus florida, 2397 nucleotides long. RefSeq lists it as uncharacterized. Lineage: Eukaryota; Viridiplantae; Streptophyta; Magnoliopsida; Cornales; Cornaceae. The transcript has 2 exons. The record is from RefSeq and is a predicted model, not a curated record.
UCUCUCUCUCUCAUAUUCAUUCAAAACGACUGACUAAAUUAUUCUAAGAGGUAGAAAGAGAGAUCUAUGCUUUCUCGAAGAUUCAAAACGACUGACUAAAUUUGGCCUUGCAAGGGUCAUCAAUCCAGUUAAGACUUUUGUAAAGUCAAAUUAUCAUUUUGGCGGUAAGGGUCAUUAAUUUACGGUAAAAGAAAAAAAAAGUAUUAAUCACUUCUCCAAUUAUUUGGACGCAAAACAUUUUGUUAUUUACGGAAAAAAUAUAUAUAUAUAUUUUGUUACACAAGAUAUUAUUAUUAUUAUUAUUUGAGUAAAUUACUCUGACCCUAAGGUUUGACUUAAUUACUCUCGUAAUAAAGUUUUUGCAAAGUUACUCGGAUACCCUUGUCAGACUAAUAGUCUGUUGCAUGAACUAGCAUUGUGUGUGCAUCUACUGCCCUCAACUUAUCAAUAUUAAUUACUCAAAUAUUAAUUACUCAAAUAUUCCUAAAUUUAAUAUAAUAUAAUAUUAUAUUUUUGUGAAUGCAAAUUGGGACACAUAGUUAAUCAAUGAAAUCGUGAUUUAUGAAUUGAUUACUAAUUUGCUUUAUUUGUUCAUUUAUAGCCAUGAGUCUUUUAAAUACUUACUUUUGUACACUAGUUCAACUCUAAGAUAAUUGAUUGAAACCAAUGUAAUGUUGACUAGGUUACAUUGUAUGAAUAGCUGACCAAAAAGGUACUUAUGUUUAUAUAUAUUUCUACAGAAGAAGCAAAGAAAAGAAAAAAAGAUAUAAAAAAAAUGUACAUGUUGCUGAAAAUCUAUGUAAGAAAUAAAUGCUACUACGUUUAUAUAUAUAUUUCAACAGAAAAACCAAAUAAAAGAAAAAAAGAUAUAAAAAAAAAUGUAUAUGUUGCUGAAAAUCUAUUUAAGAAAUAAAUGCUACAUAUGGGAUGUGUUCCAAGCUACCAAGGAAACAUGAAGUUGUCUCAGGAAUCAGUGAAAGGCACCUUACUUAGAGCUGAAAAGAAUAGAAAUUCAAUUUUUAUUUUAGUUGUUCAUAUUUUGCUUCUAAUGCUAAUUACCCAACAUGUGUUUUAACCAAAUGAUUAAAGAAAUUUGAUUAGCUGUUGAUGGCGUUGAAUUGCGCGCGCACAUGCAUGGACUUAUUAGAUAAAUUUCUAAAUAUUUAUAAAUAUUGUGUCACACACCGAAUUCUAAGGACCCCGUGCAUAAGUGAAAUGAAAAUAAACCGGAUCCGAAGAAGACACUAUACCAACCCCUAUGACCAAAAUGGUCAUGGAUGACAUGUCAACCAUGUCACAACAAAAUCCCUUAAACCACACGAGUAAGGACGAAAUGAAUGGUGAAUGAAUGCGAGUAGUCAUAUGCCCUAUCUAGCUCAUUGUGAUAACCGUGUUAUCUUUUCUUUUUUUUGAGAUAAUAUUUUAAUUAUUUUAUUAUUUUUAUUAUUUAUUAUAAUUAUUUUAAAUAUUAUUUAAUUAUAAUUAUUUAUUUUUAAUUUAUUACUUAUUUUUAUUUUGUUUCUUAUUACCUAUGGGUUUUGGAAGACCCGAGGUAAUUAGUGUCCUGGAUUUACUUCCGACACUUCAUGCAUUUAAUUUAGUUUAUUUUAUCCUUAAUGUAUAAUUUAAUUGUAUAACAAUGCAUGCUUAUAAUAUUAUGCUUUUGUAGGGGUGUAUAUACUUUAUUUCUUCUGGGUCGACAUUUUCAUUUUUGGGGUUUUUUGUGCUAUUAUCUUUUGGAGAUAUUUUGUUUAGGGACCUUAGUGUAAAUAUCUUUUGGAAAUAUUUCAUAGGUAGACUUUUGUGCGAAUUGGAGAAGUUGUACAAAAUGUCAUAUUUGGAUUGGACCAAGUGUUAGCCUUUAAGUGGGACAUGUGGUGAGGUGAUGAGGACAAGUGGAGGGCUAGGAUUGUUGGGUGUGUGUGGGAGGUAGUGCAAGACAUGUUUAAGUAAUAUAUAUCUCCUUUGGUCUUCCAUCUUUUUCUAAACUUCAUAUUUCUCCUCUCAUUUUCUCUCUCCAACCUCCAUUGAUACACACCUUAGAACUUAGUUUUACCUACCUGCCUCUCACCUUUCGGCUUUACCAUAGAAGGAGAAAAUAGGAGAAAAGUUUGCUUGCACUUUGGACUACAAGACCCUUCUUUUGGAUUUUCUCUUUACUCACUUUUCUUUUGGAUUCUAAAGACGCUUUGUCUAGUGAGGUAAAGAAGUGUUCUUUAUGGAUGGUCACUUUCCUUAGCUUGUUAUGGAUAUGGUGUCAUGGACAUUCUUGUUUUGUAUAUAUGCAAAGUGUUUAGCAUGUUUUUUUGCGUACUUUUGUAACCAUGAAUAUAUGGUGUAUACUUUGAAUUAAUAUAUGUAAUAAGACCUUAGAGCUACUUGUUUAUUUUGUUUUCA